RNAcentral lists this ribosomal RNA (253 nucleotides) under uncultured bacterium. RNAcentral's name for it is "partial 16S ribosomal RNA". It matches the Rfam family "Bacterial small subunit ribosomal RNA", at positions 524 to 776 of the family's 1533-position model. The record is from RNAcentral.
UACGAAGGGUGCAAACGUUGCUCGGAAUUAUUGGGCGUAAAGCGCACGUAGGCGGCUUUGCAAGUCGGAUGUGAAAUCCCUCGGCUCAACCAAGGAAGUGCAUCCGAAACUGCAGAGCUUGAGUACCAAAGAGGAUCGCGGAAUUCCCGGUGUAGAGGUGAAAUUCGUAGAUAUCGGGAGGAACACCAGUGGCGAAGGCGGCGAUCUGGGUGGAUACUGACGCUGAGGUGCGAAAGCGUGGGGAGCAAACAGG